GCCAGGCACGGUGGCACGUGCCUAUAGUCCCAGCUACUCAGGAGGCUGAGGUGGGAGGAUCACUUGAGCCCAGGAGUUCUGGGCUGUAGUGCGCUAUGCCGGUCGGGUGUCCGCACUAAGUUUGGCAUCAAUAUGGUGACCUCCUGGGAGCAGGGAACCACCAGGUUGCCUAAGGAGGGGUGAACCAGCCCAGGUUGGAAACAGAGCAGGUCAAAACUCCCAUGCUGAUCAGUAGUGGGAUUGCGCCUGUGAAUAGCCACUGCACUCCAGUCUGGGCAACAUAGCGAGACCCCAUCUCU
This 299-nucleotide signal recognition particle RNA is filed under the name Aotus nancymaae (Ma's night monkey). RNAcentral describes it as "Metazoan signal recognition particle RNA (ENSANAG00000004286.1)". It matches the Rfam family "Metazoan signal recognition particle RNA". From Rfam's summary of the family: The signal recognition particle (SRP) is a universally conserved ribonucleoprotein. It is involved in the co-translational targeting of proteins to membranes. The eukaryotic SRP consists of a 300-nucleotide 7S RNA and six proteins: SRPs 72, 68, 54, 19, 14, and 9. Lineage: Eukaryota; Metazoa; Chordata; Mammalia; Primates; Aotidae. The record is from RNAcentral.